UACGAAGGGGGCUAGCGUUGUUCGGAAUUACUGGGCGUAAAGCGCACGUAGGCGGAUACUUAAGUUAGGGGUGAAAUCCCGGGGCUCAACCCCGGAACUGCCUUUGAUACUGGGUAUCUGGAGUCCGAGAGAGGUGAGUGGAAUUCCGAGUGUAGAGGUGAAAUUCGUAGAUAUUCGGAGGAACACCAGUGGCGAAGGCGGCUCACUGGUCCGGUACUGACGCUGAGGUGCGAAAGCGUGGGGAGCAAACAGG
Molecule: ribosomal RNA, 253 nt
Filed under: uncultured bacterium
Lineage: Bacteria
Description: partial 16S ribosomal RNA
Rfam family: Bacterial small subunit ribosomal RNA
Source: RNAcentral